RNAcentral lists this ribosomal RNA (512 nucleotides) under marine sediment metagenome. RNAcentral's name for it is "bacterial SSU rRNA". It matches the Rfam family "Archaeal small subunit ribosomal RNA", at positions 820 to 1331 of the family's 1478-position model. The record is from RNAcentral.
UGUGCCGCCUGGGAAGUACGGUCGCAAGGCUAAAACUUAAAGGAAUUGGCGGGGGAGCACCACAAGGGGUGAAGCCUGCGGUUCAAUUGGACUCAACGCCGGAAAACUUACCAGGGGAGACAGCAGUAUGACGGUCAGGUUGACGACCUUACCUAACGAGCUGAGAGGAGGUGCAUGGCCGUCGCCAGUUCGUGCCGUGAGGUGUUCUCUUAAGUGAGAUAACGAACGAGACCCGUGCCACAUGUUGCCACCAGUAUCUAAAGGAUAGCUGAGCACUCUUGUGGGACCGCAGCCGAUAAGGCUGAGGAAGGUACGGGCAACGGCAGGUCAGUAUGCCCCGAAUCUCCCGGGCCACACGCGGGCUGCAAUGGUACAGACAGAGGGCUGCCACCCCGAAAGGGGGAGCCAAUCCCUAAACUGUACCUCAGUUGGGAUCGAGGGUUGCAACCCACCCUCGUGAACAUGGAAUGCCUAGUAACCGCCAGUCAUCAUCUGGCGGUGAAUACGUCCCU